UUUACCAUAUGCUAAGAAAGCAAAACCGAUGGGUUAACACAAGGAAGUUAAAGGAAACUUGGGAGGCAGGAGGAACAUGACUUUGGGGACCACGAACUCACAGCGAGGCCCCAGAAAGCUCCCAGGAGGGGCCUCGAAGCCGUCCUGGGAGGGUGGGGUUAGAAGAAGAUUCCUGGAAAAUGGAGGCCCUAAGCUGGGGCUUUCUAUUUUUUAAUUUUCACGCCUUUCUUAAACCAUGAAAGU
This 243-nucleotide long non-coding RNA is filed under the name Jaculus jaculus (lesser Egyptian jerboa). RNAcentral's name for it is "Hydatidiform mole associated and imprinted conserved region 1 (ENSJJAG00000009391.1)". It matches the Rfam family "Hydatidiform mole associated and imprinted conserved region 1". The record is from RNAcentral. Lineage: Eukaryota; Metazoa; Chordata; Mammalia; Rodentia; Dipodidae.